GUCCUUGUUUCUGGUUGUGAGAGAGGCUUUGGAUGCCCAUUCCAGGAAGCGUGGACCUUCAGAGUAUCUGAGGAGCCACUGUGACACGUGGUGCCUCUGGCGCCUUUCCUCAUAUCCUCAGGCCAACACCAGAGUUGGGUUUAAGUAGCGAGUGUUCUGGAAGCAGCGUUUUGCACUUGGGGUGAGUGGUGUGCCUGCAUCUCAUCAGGGACUUUGAAGAUGUGCUCGUGGUGGGGGCUGUGGAUGCUGUUGGAUGCGUGUGACUCGUAAUGUGGCCGGUUACUAGGAACAAUUCCCAGUGACAUCAUUGUGUUUAACCCUGUGUCACUGCCUGUCUCCUGAGUAUCCCUGGGACCAGAAGGUGGGAGUGUCCAGGUGGCCUUCACUUACGUAUCUUGGGCUACCUGCCUGGUUAGUGAAGACAUUAUCCCCAAACGUGGGCCUUGGAGAGGAGAGGGCUGUCCACGGAGUGGGCAGGUGGCCUGACGCAGGGCCUGGCCCGCAGUGACCUCAGCUCCAGCAGCAGCACCCACCUUGGCUCUGGGGCCAGAAGCGUACCUUGGUGUCUCUGCUCCUCUGCCACAGACCUGUCCACCUGCCUUCCAGAGCCCCCAUGACCUGACUGCUCUGUGCCUGUCGUGGGCACAGCACUGGCUGUGGGCUGCCUUCCUCCCUGUCUGCUGACCUUGCCCUGACCCCCUGCCCAUCCUGGUUGGUGGACCUUGGGUGAUUCUGCUCAUAAAGUCCACCAGGGGGCUUCCUGGUUCACAGAAGGGUGGAGGGGACUUGUGGGCCAGCACCCUCCUGGUGUGUGGCAGAGGGUCCUGCUUCCAGGCUUUCCAGCUCCUUUCUGUGGGCCAGCUUCCCCGAUUUCCACACGAGUUCACAGUGGUGUCUUCCACUCACCCCUGUUCUGUCGUGUGCAGUCAGGGUAGCCGAGGUGGGGGUGACCUCCAG
Molecule: long non-coding RNA, 957 nt
Filed under: Marmota monax (woodchuck)
Lineage: Eukaryota; Metazoa; Chordata; Mammalia; Rodentia; Sciuridae
Source: RNAcentral